Ictalurus punctatus (channel catfish) is the source of this 3715-nucleotide long non-coding RNA. NCBI's taxonomy places the organism in Eukaryota, Metazoa, Chordata, Actinopteri, Siluriformes, Ictaluridae. The record is from Ensembl.
UCCUACCAAAUUGCUGUAUGUGGACUCGCCCUCACAGGUAAACACUUUUACAUUCUUAAGGUUUGGGCAAAGUGUCACAUUUCUGGUAGAAUCGGGAGCAACGUAUUCAGUAAUAAAACACUGCGAAUUAAAAGAAACCCCGAUAACGAGUUCACGGUCACUGCACAGUAUUAGACCUAAUUUUGUCUUCAUGUCCAGACAACUACUGGGCAGAGACUUAAUGUGUGUUUUACACUUAAAUUUUAUGUCCUCACCUCAGGGAGUAAGAAGAAAUGAUGACUCAUCAUUGUAACUCUGUUUGUUAAAGAAACAGAGCUCUGUGUUUAUCAAUGGUCCAAGCAUAACAAGCCUAGAGCAUGUGCUCGUUUGUUGACGUUGGCACAUGAUAAGAUGAAGGACAACUAUGUAGAUUUUAUGCUGUCCUCUGCCCUUCAUUGCACAGCGCAAGUGCAUGAAGAAAGAGACUUUAAUUUUGAGAAAGAAUGGUUUAUGGAUUUCCCAGAAAGCGAAGAGCUGUACCUAUGUUGCUGGAAAAAUUUUGUGCAUGUCCAGUCAAAUUGAGUGACAUGCAGUUGCGUGCAUUUUUUGUCCCAGAAUCAGCGCCUCACGUCUCAUUAACCAAAAUAAAGAACAAACAGUAGAAAGACGUAGGGCUGUGGGUCAGAUUAUAUGAGAGUGGGAAAAUUACACAUUGGGAACAGAAGCCCACCUCCAACAUGUGGUACAGCCUGACGCUGGGAAUUUAUUUAAAAAAAAUUCUUUCUGGAAAUGUGCAAGGUUAACCGGGAGGUUUGUCAUGAAAAUAGAAUGUUUCUGAACCUUGGAACGAGCCCCACACCCCUAGAGACACACCCACAAUUGAAGAAGGUGCCUCUCGGGCUGUGGGCCCAAGGGAAACAUGACGUAGGCCUGAUUUAAAAGUGCACCACCAGUCGUGAUCACUCCCAAAUCUGACUUUAGGCCCAGACAAUCUCCAUACCCUCUUAAAUCAGAAGCUAUUGAGGGCAUUGGACCAGAUUUCAAUUCAUUAUUGAAGGUAGGGGUCAUUGUUCCCUGCCUUGAUUUGUCAGUGCGCACUCCAAUAUAUCCGGUAAAGAAGGCAAGAAAACCCCCACAACCAGAUGAAUGGAGAUUUGUACAAGAUUUGCAAGCAGUUAAUGCAGCAGUCAAACUGAGAGCUCCAGACAUGCCAAAUUCUUACACUAUAUUAAGCCAGGUUCCAGCAAAUAGCGAAUCGUUUUCAGUCGUAGAUUUAGCUAAUGCAUUUUUAAAAAGUAUAUCUCUUGAUAAAGACAUACAGUUUCAGUUUGCAUUCAUAUUUGAUGGAUGUCCUUACACUUUCACUCGCUUGUGUUUAAGGGAAUUGAGAGUCACUAACAUUCCCACCGUGGCCCCGUGUGUGCGGAGUUUGCAUGUUCUCCCCGUGCUGCCAGGGUUUCCUCCGGGUACUCUGGUUUCCUCCCCCAGUCCAAAGACAUGCAUGGUAGGCUGAUUGGCAUGUCCAAAGUAUCCGUAGUGUAUGAAUGGGUUUGUGAAUGUGUAUGUGAUUGUGCCCUGCGAUGGAUUGGCACCCUGUCCAAGGUGUACCCCGCCUUGUGCCCCAUGCUCCCUGGGAUAGGUUCUAGGUUUCCCCGUGACCAUGAAGGAAGGAUAAGCAGUAUAGAAGAUGGAUGGAUGGAUGGAUGGAUGGAUGGAGAGUCACUAACGAUAUACAACCAAAUGCUAAAGGACAGCUUAGCACCUCUACCACUUUCUCCAGGGCACAGUGUGAAACUGACACCAUUAAAUUGUUGCAGCAUCUUGCCAAAGAAGGACACAAAGCCAGUCUCUCCAAAUUACAGUAUGUACGACAAGAAGUGAGAUUUCUAAGGCAUGACAUUUCUGCAAAGGGAAAGAAACUCUCAACUGAAAGAGUAUCUGCAAUCCAAAAGAUUCCCAAGCCUCGGAUGAAGAAACAGGUUCUCUCUAUCCUAGGUAUGUGUUUGUAUCGCAGAACUUUCAUUCUAAACUAUACCAUUCUAGAAGCACCGCUCAGAGAGAUGGCAUAUGUGACAGGUUGGACAGCUCAUUCUCAGGUAAGUUGGAUCCAGUUGCUACAGAGUUUCCCCCAUGGGUAUGUUCAGUAGCAGCAGCUGAGAAAGCUGUGAUGGCAUCCAGAGAUCUGGUAGGUUACACAGAAUUUAACCUCUUGGUUCCACAUGAGGUGUUGUUACUCCUACUUGAACAGAAAACCUCACACCUGUCCACUCAAUGGUGGCUGCACCAUAACACUAUACUACUAGACAUGCAGAAAGUCACUAUGAAACAAUGUACUGUCCUUAACCCUGCUACUCUUCUUCCAACAGAGGGAGACGGAGAACCACAUGACUGUGUCGUAUUGACCAACGAAUUCUGCUCUCAUAGAGUCGACCUGAAAGGUGUUCUAUUGGAAAAUGUAGAUCUGAUCCUCUUUGUGGAUGGGUCAGCGUCACGUGACCCAGAGACAGCAGGUAAAGGCAGCACUUCCAGCUCCAGCCACGAGUCCGCUGCAUGAUCUGAAGCCUGGAGAGUAGAUCGUGAUCAAGGACUUCCGCAGGACCAGGUGGAACAAGCCACGGUGGUCUGGGCCAUUCCAGGUUCUAUUUGUCACUCAUUCAGCAGUGAAAGUCAACCAGAGAGCCACAUGGAUGUGUGCGAGCCACUGCAGGAGGGUGCCAGAGCCAAGCAUUGAGCUCUGCAUAUACACACCCACAUAACGUCACACGUCCCCUCAUCAUGCAGACACAUAAUGGUUAUUCUAUCAUUGAACACAGGCGGUCUGCGAUACGCAACCCUCCACAGGCUAGCGAGAUGGGGUUUGAUUGGCUGAACUCAGUACUCGGGGGGUGGGGCUCAUGGAUAUUAACCAUCUGUCUACCAAUAGGUGCAAUAAUUCUUCUUGUCUUGCUCAUUUUGCCUUGUAUCGUUUCUCUCGUUCGGAGCAGUCUCUCACACUCGUUGAAAUCACUAAUGACCAAACGCUGAUGUUGACGAAGACUGAGUCUUUGAUGACCAAUCUGACUUGUAUCCUAAACCUGACUGGGUAUCAGAUCCUCCCAGCGACACUGACGAUGACGACCAAUUGACAUCCAUUUCACACCUAUUGUAAAUAUUCCUUUGACCAUGACGAUUCUCAUUUCACUCUAAGAUAAGCUUGCUUGACGACAGGUUACUUUAAAUCCGCAAAAACAGCCUUAGCAGUUUCAUUAUGUCUGUUUCAUGAUGAAUUCAGUUGAACCGUGAAAGGUUUCUGAAGUUCUGAUGUACUCAUAGAAUAGUAAUUUCUCUGUUAAUUUUAGUUAUCAUAUUUUGUAAUGAUAAAAUGGGGGAAAUGUGAGGGAAAUUAUUCAUUUUUACUUUGUAAUAGUUUUGUUCUUGUUCUAUUUCAUUCUCAUCUGAAGAUAACGCAUAAGAAGGCCAUGCCAUGUCACUGAGAUCAGUACAGAAUGCUUAUCUGCUUACAGAGACACAAACAUGUUCUUCUGUUCAAGGUUUGUCUGUCCAAGAUCCUAAAACAAAGCCUGUUUGAACUGCCUCAAACUGCUUCUUAUCGGUACACAGAAUUAUGUCAUGCUCUGCGUUUCAUAUAUAUAGUAGUGGUUUAGUACAAGGGCUUCAGAGCGCUCUCAUUAUUCUAUCCUACUUUAUUCUAUCCUGUAUUAAACAUCUUUCUGUAAUAAACCUUUUUACCUUCAGA